Molecule: ribosomal RNA, 971 nt
Filed under: uncultured Alphaproteobacteria bacterium
Lineage: Bacteria; Pseudomonadati; Pseudomonadota; Alphaproteobacteria
Description: bacterial SSU rRNA
Rfam family: Bacterial small subunit ribosomal RNA
Source: RNAcentral
GGGGGCAGGUAUCGUCAUGACUGGGCGUAAGCGCAUGUAGGUGGUUUUGAGCCGCCGCUCAUACAAAUCCCUAGGCUUACCUUAGGUAUUAUGUGCAGGUGGUAAAAACUAGAGUAAGUGAGAGGAGAGUAGAAUUCUUGGUGGAGAGGUGGAAUUUAUAGAUACCAGGAGGAAUUCCGAGAGCGAAGGCAGCUCUCUAGCACUUAACUGACGCUGAGAUGCUAAAGCGUGGGUAUCGACGGGGAUUAGAGACCCCCUUAGUCCACGCCCUCAACGAUGAAAAUUCACCAUUAGAUUAAUUCCAGUUACUUUAGUGGUCUAGCUAACGCGUUAAUUUUCCGCCUGAGGAGUACGGCCGCGAGGUUAAAACUCAAAGGAAUAGACGGGGGCUCAUACAAGUGGUGGAACAUGUGGUUUAAUUCGAAACAACGCCGCAAGAACCCUUACCAGUUCUUGGACAUAAAUUUGAAUCUCCUCCGUAAUGGGACGAGAAAUUCGGUUUACAGGUGUUGCAUGGCUGUCGUCAGCUCGUGUCGUUGAGAUGUUUGGUUAGUUCCCUUAACGAGCGCAACCCUCAUGAAAAACUAUUUACUCAAGUAAAAUUUUUCAGACUAACAGUUACAUACUGAAGGAAGGUGAGGAUCACGCCAAGUCGUCAUGACCCUUAUGAACUGGGCAACACACGUGUUACAAGGGCGGCCACAAAAGGAAGCAAUGACGCGAGUUGGGGCGAAUCCAAAAAGGUCGCCUUAGUUCAGAUUGCUCUCUGCAACUCGAGAGCAUGAAGUUGGAAUCACUAGUAAUCGUGGAUCAGCACGCCACGGUGAAUUUGUACCUGGGCCUUGUACUCCCCGCCCGUCACGCUCCGGAAGUCGAGUGGACUGGAAGACUUACUAUUUAGUUUCCUAUUAUUUGAUUUAUGCGUCUUUUUUAGACCUUCUUGCCCGUGCUUUCUUUGAAAGCAAAAAAGA